This 3050-nucleotide small RNA is filed under the name Pongo abelii (Sumatran orangutan). Its description in RNAcentral is "processed transcript". The record is from RNAcentral. Lineage: Eukaryota; Metazoa; Chordata; Mammalia; Primates; Hominidae.
GAGUGAGGCGUCGUCCGUGCUGGAGGCAGGCUCCGGUCGCGGCCGCGGCGAGUUAACAUCGUUUUUCCAAUCUGUCCGCGGCUGCCGCCGCGCAAGACAGAGCCAGAAUGUUCAGGAUGCUGAGCAGCAGUUUUGAGGAUGACCCCUUCUUCUCGUGAGUUACGGGAGCCAGGAGUCCGCGGUCGCGCGGGAAUUAAGUGAGUCCAUUCUUGCACACCGAGAAAAUAUGCGACAGAUGAUGAGAAGUUUUACUGAACCCUUUGGAAGAGACUUGCUCAGUAUCUCUGAUGGUAGAGGGAGAGUUCAUAAUCGUAGAGGACAUAAUGAUGGUGAAGAUUCUUUGACUGCAACGAGUUGUUCUCUUGUGCGUUUUGGCGAUUUUGGUGCAUACAGAUGUCAGCUCUUUGCAGACAGUGGACCAAAUGGUGUCAAAUAUGAGAAACUAUAUGCAGAAAUUAGAAAGAAACUUUGGUCAACUUUCAGUGGAUCCAAAUGGACAUUCAUUUUGUUCUUCCUCAGUUAUGACUUAUUCCAAAAUAGGAGAUGAACCGCCAAAGGUUUUUCAGGCCUCAACUCAAACUCGUCGAGCUCCAGGAGGAAUAAAGGAAACUAGGAAAGCAAUGAGAGAUUCUGACAGUGGACUAGAAAAAAUGGCUAUUGGUCAUCAUAUCCAUGACCGAGCUCAUGUCAUUAAAAAGUCAAAGAACAAGAAGACUGGAGAUGAAGAGGUCAACCAGGAGUUCAUCAAUAUGAAUGAAAGUGAUGCUCAUGCUUUUGAUGAGGAGUGGCAAAGUGAGGUUUUGAAGUACAAACCAGGACGACACAAUCUAGAAAACACUAGAAUGAGAAGUGUUGGCCAUGAGAAUCCUGGCUCCCGAGAACUUAAAAGAAGGGAGAAACCUCAACAAAGUCCAGCCAUUGAACAUGGAAGAAGAUCAGAUGUUUUGGGGGACAAACUCUACAUCAAAGGCUCAUCUGUGAAAAGCAACAAAAAAUAAAUAGCCAUGCAUUUGAUUUGUUUAGUUUUGGUUGUUUUAACAGUUAGUAAUGGUGCUGGGUAAUAAGCAUAAGACCAAUCUCUUGCUGUUAAAUCAGUUCUGUCCUUGGCAACUUUCUUGUGAUAUCUGAAUGUUCAUGAAGGUCCUAGCUUUAUAUUGUCCCCCUUUAGGAAUAAAAUUUUGAUUUUCAACAGUGUGAGUAAAUUGUGAAACAGUCUAUUUAAUAUAAAACUCUUUAAAACAUACCAAUUUUUUAAAGCUUAUAUGCUGAUUUCGCUUCCCCAGUUGUUUUUUUGUUGGCUAGGUAUUCUUUUAUAUUUAUCAAGAUUGAUUGCAGAGCAGUUCUAUCACUUAUAAUUAGUUAUAAGAAAUUAUAAUGUUAAAGUCUCAGUUUUUACAACACUGUACUAGAGUUAUAUUAAUAAAGGUUUAAAUAAUUUAUCUCUAAUUUUAUAAUGUGUUGUAAAGCCAGCUAGCUUAAAACUUUAAAAAUAAUAAAGCAAAACUGCACUAGUACCCUUUUAUGAGAAAAUAUUAUUUUGAUGAAGGGCAAGAAUAAUCAAAUAGUUCAUUUUCAGAGAAAAAUAUUUUAAAUUACAAUGUACAUGAUUGUUUUGGUUAUAAUUUAUUUAUAGAAUGUAUCUUUUCUAUAUUACAUUCUUAAUAUUCACCAGAUAUCAUAUUGACCAUUCUCUUUAACUUCUUAGUGUGGCAUAUUUCUACUCUCCUUUCCCACAAACAGCUUCAUCUAUCUCCAAGGUUAACAUUCUGAAGCUGGAGAGUCCUUGGAGAAACUCUGCUCAGCUUUUUUGUGACAUUUAGAAAAAUGCAUUUGGUAUUCUCCAAACCAGAAUGAUACAUUGUCUCAAAAUUUGUUAGACAGCUGAUGGGUGUUUUUGAGCAAUGUCUUAAUAAUUCAGUUGUUUCUGUUUUAAUUAUACCAUUAAAAAUCAGCUUUAGCUUUUUAAUUCUGGAAUUUAAGCAUCAAUCUGUUUUCAUAAAAGUUAGGUUUGAAGUUUAUAAGAAUAUAAAAUCUUAACUCACGUUUGUUGUUUAAUAUUUCUAUCAAGGAAAAAAGCCCCCAAAAAUUGCUAUCACUCUAUAAUUCUAAGUAUUUUUCUUUUCAAUUUCGUAAGUAAAAUUAUAUGACCUAUGUUUAUACUUCUCUAAUUUUUUAUAUAAUAUUUUUGUUAAUUUUACUAGUUUGUGUUUUAUGCCUUUAGUCAUUAAAAUAAAAUGCAAAUGUGUUAAUUCAUUGUUGAAAUUAAGCAUGUAUUAGUUAAAAAUGUCCUUUUAGGCAUACUUUAGUAUACUCCUAACAUACCAUAACACAUUGGGAAAUUGUCAUAAGGCACAAAUUUUAAAUAACAUCUUGAUAUAAAUUAACCUGAUAGAGCAAAGUCUUAAGAAAGUACAUACUUUAUUUUCCUUUUGCCUAAAUCAUUACACUGAUGAUAACUUGAAUCAUUGUAGUCAAAUCUAAAAACACGCUUUAAUAAAUAAUUGUGUUUAACAGUAUAAUUCCUGUACAUCAGAUUGCAGUUAGACAUUGUGGUGAGGCAGAAUUUGAGACGGUAGUACUGAGAAAAGUUCUUUCUUUCUUAAAAGUCAACUCUAUCUUUGCACCAUAAAAAAAACUAUCAAUAUCUAUACCCCAGAAUAAUAUUUGUUUGCAACAACUUCUUAUGAUUGGUGUUUAAUACUGUUAGUCUGUAAAUUGAAACUAUUUAAAACUAUAUACAUGCUGGGCGCAUUGGCUCAUGCCUGUAAUCCCAGCACUUUGGGAGGCUGAGGCAGGUGGAUUGCUUGAGGUCAGUUCAAGACCAGCCUGACCAACAUGGCGAAACCCUGUCUCUACUAAAUAUACAAAAAUUAGGCGGGUGUGGUGGCGGGCACCUAUAAUCCCAGCUACUCAGGAGGCUGAGGCAGGAGAAUUGCUGGAACCUGGGAGGUGGAGGUUGCAGUGAGCCGAGGUCGCAUCUCUGCACUCCAGCCUGGGCAACAGAGCAACAGAGCGGGACUCCAUCUCAAAAAAAAAACAAAAAAACAAAA